RNAcentral lists this ribosomal RNA (450 nucleotides) under uncultured bacterium. RNAcentral describes it as "partial 16S ribosomal RNA". It matches the Rfam family "Bacterial small subunit ribosomal RNA", at positions 354 to 796 of the family's 1533-position model. The record is from RNAcentral.
GUGGGGAAUCUUCCGCAAUGGACGAAAGUCUGACGGAGCAACGCCGCGUGAGUGAAGAAGGUUUUCGGAUCGUAAAGCUCUUUCGUUAGGGACGAACGUGCUCUUUGUGAAUAAUGAGGAGUAAUGACGGUACCUAAAUAAGAAGCCACGGCUAACUACGUGCCAGCAGCCGCGGUAAUACGUAGGUGGCAAGCGUUGUCCAGAAUUAUUGGGCGUAAAGCGCGCGCAGGCGGGAUAUCAAGUCUGUCUUAAAAGUGCGAGGCUCAACCUCGUGAGGGGACAGAAACUGGUAUUCUUGAGUGUCGGAGAGGAAAGUGGAAUUCCAAGUGUAGCGGUGAAAUGCGUAGAGAUUUGGAAGAACACCAGUGGCGAAGGCGACUUUCUGGACGAUGUCUGACGCUGAGGCGCGAAAGCUAGGGGAGCGAACGGGAUUAGAAACCCCGGUAGUCC